Molecule: ribosomal RNA, 253 nt
Filed under: uncultured bacterium
Lineage: Bacteria
Description: partial 16S ribosomal RNA
Rfam family: Bacterial small subunit ribosomal RNA
Source: RNAcentral
UACGUAGGGUGCAAGCGUUAUUCGGAAUCACUGGGCGUAAAGGGCGCGCAGGCGGUUUUGUAAGUCUAAAGUGAAAUCCUUGGGCUUUAACCAAGGGCUGCUUUAGUUACUGCAAAACUCGAGUUCGGGAAAAGCAAGCGGAACUCCUGGUGAAGGGGUGAAAUACGUAGAUAUCAGGAAGAACACCAGUGGCGAAAGCGGCUUGCUUGAAAGCAACUGACGCUUAGGCGCGAAAGCGUGGGGAGCAAUCAGG